Molecule: ribosomal RNA, 253 nt
Filed under: uncultured bacterium
Lineage: Bacteria
Description: partial 16S ribosomal RNA
Rfam family: Bacterial small subunit ribosomal RNA
Source: RNAcentral
UACGUAGGUGGCAAGCGUUAUCCGGAAUUAUUGGGCGUAAAGCGCGCGCAGGUGGUUUCUUAAGUCUGAUGUGAAAGCCCACGGCUCAACCGUGGAGGGUCAUUGGAAACUGGGAGACUUGAGUGCAGAAGAGGAAAGUGGAAUUCCAUGUGUAGCGGUGAAAUGCGCAGAUAUCCGGAGGAACACCGGUGGCGAAGGCGGCUUCCUGGACCGACACUGACGCUGAGAAGCGAAAGCAUGGGGAGCGAACAGG